This is a long non-coding RNA of Pogoniulus pusillus (Red-fronted tinkerbird), 755 nucleotides long. RefSeq lists it as uncharacterized. The record is from RefSeq and is a predicted model, not a curated record. The transcript has 4 exons. NCBI's taxonomy places the organism in Eukaryota, Metazoa, Chordata, Aves, Piciformes, Lybiidae.
GCCUGGGCUGAGGCUUGUGCACAGGCUGCUCAUAAGGAAAGAGAGCUCUGCCCCUGCAGCUGGCUGAAACCUGGAGAGCAUUCCUUCAGCCUCAAACAUUCUGAGCAGUGUUUGAAUCCAAAACUACUCAGGAGUGACAGAGGACUGCCACAAAUCACAGGUAUCUCCUAAUUCUCUUGGGUGCCUGCAAGUCUCUUAGCACCCUCUCAGUGUCAGACUUUUCCUUGGUGUAGGUCAGGAACAAAACUGUUUCCUGAAAGGAAGAUGUGCUAUGGCAAUCCUGAGAUUUAAGUGUCUGUCAAAAUAGAACUCCCCAGAGGACUAUCUUCUUGCAGAUGGAGCUAUGAAAGUCAUCUUUUCAAAGAAAAAAAAAUGCUGAAAUACAUAGAACUGCUCAAGAUGUGCUUGAGGCAAUUUGUUGACAACGUUGGGUUAGGCAGCUCAGUCUGCAAGUGCAAGUUCUGCAACUAGUAAGGAAAAUAAAAUUUAUUGCUAUAUUUCCCCCUUCAAAACUGGAAAAAAAAAAUUAAUCAAAAAAAGAAAAAUAUGAGAGGCAAAAUUGAUUCCAAUAUAAUGCUUAUAACACUUAACCCUACUUAUGAGAGAGUGAUUUGCCAUGGGAAUGGGCUGCCCAGGGAGGUGGUGCAGUCACUGUCCCUAGAAGUGUUCAAAAAAAGACUGGAUUAUAGAAUCAGCCAGGUUGGAAGAAACCUCCAAGCUCAUCCAGUCCAACCUAGCACCCAGCCCUAGCCAGU